CCUACGGGAGGCAGCAGUGAGGAAUAUUGGUCAAUGGCCGGAAGGCUGAACCAGCCAUGCCGCGUGAAGGUCAGUGCCCUAUGGGCGUUAAACUUCUUUUGUGCGGGAGCAAUAAUGGUCACGUGUGGCCAGACGAGAGUACCGUACGAAUAAGCAUCGGCUAACUCCGUUCCAGCAGCCGCGGUAAUACGGGGGAUGCAAGCGUUAUCCGGAUUUAUUGGGUUUAAAGGGUGCGUAGGCUGUGAGGUAAGUCAGCGGUGAAAUGCCCCCGCUCAACGGGGUGAAGUGCCAUUGAUACUGCCUGGCUGGAAGGCGGAUGCCGUGGGAGGAAUGUGUGGUGUAGCGGUGAAAUGCAUAGAUAUCACACAGAACACCGAUUGCGAAGGCAUCUCACGAAGCCGCGAUUGACGCUGAUGCACGAAAGCGUGGGUAUCAAACAGGAUUAGAUACCCCUGUAGUC
RNAcentral lists this ribosomal RNA (460 nucleotides) under uncultured bacterium. RNAcentral's name for it is "partial 16S ribosomal RNA". It matches the Rfam family "Bacterial small subunit ribosomal RNA", at positions 338 to 795 of the family's 1533-position model. The record is from RNAcentral.